GAUGGUAUCUGUGCACUCUUUUGGUUCAACCAACUUACUGUUGUGAGUGAGACUUAGCUGUUCAAACCCUGUUAGGCAUUUUCCACUCUAGGGAAGAAAGUCGCUCUAUUCUAUUUUGUCCUCUUACUCCAGUGUUUCAGCUGGAGCUCUUCAAUCAUGCAUUUGUGGCAAAGAAAUGAAGUUGUGGAUCUCUUUCAUUGAUGUUUAGUAUUCCCUUUCACAUUUGAGUUGUGAUAAUAAAGUUAUCUACGAACAAGCCUCAUGAUUUCAUUUUACAUUUAUAGCAAUGGUUUGAUGAUCUUUUCCCAAAUGUCACAUUGAAGAAGAGAAACAUUAGGUUUUUGGAAGAGAAAUUGUAUCUACAGAAUCAAAAACAUCAUGCCGUUUUCUCACAAACCAAGAGCACCGAGAGGCGUUUUCCCCUGCCCGGCCUCAAAGUAAAAGAUCAACAUGGCAACCAUUGCGAGCCUCGAGUGCUUAAUCUCUGCCAAUUUCAGCCUCUCCAGCUUCUCAAAGUCCGGCUCAUAAACACCGUCGCGGUUUUUCCCGGCGAGACCCAACGGAUCGAAGAAUCUCCCACCGGGGUAUCCCUGAUCGCCGGUAUAGUUCGCGAAAUUCUCGGCGGUCUUCGACCAUGGCGUUGCCCACUCAACCGAUUGAGAAUCCGGGUUGAAGAAAUCGACCCAUCGUUUGCUCUCCACCCAACCCAUGAGAAGCAAUUGGGUUCCAAGAAGCGACCCGAACGAGAAGGGAGCGAUCGCGUCUGGCUGGGCUCCAGCUUCAAACCAUGCCACACCGCUCCAGGCCUGGCCGACGAAGAUCCCAAGAACCGCUGCCAUCGCCCAUCGGCCAUGGAUCAGCUCAGCCUCUCUGUACCAUUUCAGAAAAGCCGGGUCUUUCCCCAAACCCAAUGGGUCGAACCCGAAAUCUCCUGGUAGCCUGCGAAUAUCACACACAUUUGACUCAAUAACUGGGUAACAAACAAUUCGGGCUUUUCAUGCUCUCUUGAGAUUCAGCUAACAAAUUAGAACCAAAUGAGUAAUCAGGACCUUGAAUUAUCAUAAUCUAUUGUCCAAGCUAGUUUAUGAGAGAUAUGAAUGAAAAUUCAGCAUUGUUCAUGCUAGUAACUCAGAUAUAAAAGAGAAUAGACUUACGAGCCAUCGAGCCAUUCAGGGUCAAGGAAGUUGCCACCACCUUUAACGGCAGGGAUCCAAGAUUUCUUAGGCUGAGCAGCCGCAGCAGCGACAAUAAGAGUUUUCCUGCCAACUCUCUGAGCUCCAGUGCCUACGCCGCUUGCCAAUGCGGUGGCACCUCUCUUGCCUCCGGUGAGGAACGAAGAACCAAGCCCACUGAGGACAGCUCCGGAGACCGCCAUCGCCAUGAGAUCUCUAAUAUACUUGCUCUGUUUUUUUCUCUCAAGAUGUGGAGAAAUGAGUGUUUGGUUGUUGUUCUCUCUCUCUGUUUUUCGGAGCAGAAAGAAUCAAAGAG
RNAcentral lists this small RNA (1488 nucleotides) under Arabidopsis thaliana (thale cress). RNAcentral's name for it is "ATSL010660". Lineage: Eukaryota; Viridiplantae; Streptophyta; Magnoliopsida; Brassicales; Brassicaceae. The record is from RNAcentral.